This 373-nucleotide ribosomal RNA is filed under the name uncultured bacterium. Its description in RNAcentral is "bacterial SSU rRNA". It matches the Rfam family "Bacterial small subunit ribosomal RNA", at positions 28 to 394 of the family's 1533-position model. The record is from RNAcentral.
GACGAACGCUGGCGGCGUGCUUAACACAUGCAAGUGGAGCGACGAACCAGGGCUUGCCCUGGGGCAGAGCCGCGAACGGGUGAGUAACACGUGGGUAACGUGCCCCGAUGAUCGGGACAACCCGGGGAAACCCGGGCUAAUACCGAAUGUGCUCCCCUCACACCAGUGAGGGAUGGAAAGGAAGCUUCGGCCUCCGCAUCGGGAUCGGCCCGCGGCCCAUUAGCUUGUUGGUGAGGUAACGGCNCACCAAGGCUGCGAUGGGUAGCUGGUCUGAGAGGACGAUCAGCCACACUGGGACUGAGACACGGCCCAGACUCCUACGGGAGGCAGCAGUGGGGAAUCUCGCGCAAUGCGCGAAAGCGUGACGCAGCAA